GUCAGUAUAGACUUAUGGUAGAAAAAUUAUCAACUUUACAAGUUACAGGAAAAGAAAUUAAAGUGUCGUGGGAAAAUGAUAUGAGGAAAAAUGAAUUUAUUGCAGAAGAUUGUUAUGACAAUCGGUUAGAAAUGUCGGAACAAAGAAAAGCUAUUGAAGAGUUCGGAGUGCAAAAUAGCAAAGUAUUUAAAUCGGUUACACAUGAGGAAUUUCAUAAAAGCAAUAGCCAACUAUGGCGAGAGGAACACGAGUAUGCACAAGUUGAAUUGGAUGAAAUGGAUGAACCGGAUGGCGCCGAUGUACAAGCAUGUGAUACAGAAGCGGAUACCAUACAAACGGAAAGUACAGAAGCAUGUACCAUAGAAACAGAUGACACCAUUGAUCAAUUAAAAAAAAAUAAAAAGGAUAAGAUAAAACGAAUUCUUUCUGAAUAUAACGAACCUGAUAGCAUUUUAGUACCAGAGGAUGAAAGCUUCACAUUUUUGAACGAGACCCAAAAUAAUGACUUACAACAACCUAACAAGGAGCAAAAGAAUUUUAUUAUCAAUAAGUAUGCAAAUAGUGAAAACGAUUUAUUAUUAAAAUCGUUUGACACGAUUAACGACGAAUGUAGUGUGAAACAUUCGAAUAGUGAUGAUAUUUAUGGCAACAAUGGCACUGUAGACUGUUUAAACAAGUCAUCAGCACCAUCAACAUCAUCAACAUCAUCAACAUCAUCAACAUCGUUAGCAAUGUCUCGUACAACUGUUCAAAUUAUGAACGAAUCGGAAAAUAUUAAUAACUACAAAAAUGAUAAAGUCAUAAACAGUAAUUAUUCGAACCAAACGGACACUACUACUGCUACUACUGCUACUACUGCUGCUACUGCUACUACUGCUGCUACUGCUACUACUGCUACCACUGAUACCAGUACUAUAGAAAAAGAGCAAAUAGAAGCUAGCGACCAGGAAGAAAAAAAAACAUAUACAGAACAAAACAAAGAUGAGUUUUUUAAGUGUUCGGAAAAUUUUGCACAUAAUAAAGCACAUGUAUCAGUACAGGGAAAAGGCAGAAAAAACAAAUAUUCAUCUUAUCUUUAUAAUACGUAUAAGUAUUCAUCAACAGAUGAACAACACAAAGCAGAAAGAUCACCAACCAUUUAUGAUGAAAAUGAUAGGGAGGACACGAAACGAUUAAAUGAACCAUGGUAUUAUGAAAAGAAUGAAAACGCAUGGGCUGAUAAAGUUCUACAAAGAAACGAAGAACUUAUGGAAAAAUGGAGAAAUAAAACGAGACAAAGAAAUAUUGAAAAGGAAAGACAACUUUUUUAUGAAAAACAAAUGAUACUAAAAAAUGAAAUUUUAAAAAGAAAUGUUUUAGGAGAACCUAAAUUAACUGAAGAAGAAAUCAAUGCUUAUCUGUCUAAUGAAAAGAUAACAAAAAAUAGUAGUAAUAAUGAUACACAAGAUUAUUCAUCGAAUGCAAAGCAAGAAAUCAAAUUACCACAAAAAAAUUGCCCUGUAAUACCUAUUAUCAUAAGAACUAAUUAUGUUGGAAUGUUUGAUAUUUUUUUGGAUGAAUUUGAAAACUUACAAAAAAAACAUAACGUUAAAAUACUUGUUGUUCAUGGUGGUAUAGGUCCUAUCACACCAAAUGAUGUUGUGCAUGCUGAAGUAGAAAGUAAUUAUGGUUACUGUUGUAUUUAUGCUUUUCAUGUUAAGGUGUUGCCAGAUUCUGUAAAACAAGCGGUUCUUUCAAAUAUUGUAAUAAAAAAGUUUGAUGUUUUUACAGAUGUUAUAAAUGAUAUUAUUCAAAGAAUCAAAAAUAUAAAAACAUUGGUUGCGCAUAACAUGUAUGUAAGAAGUCUAAAAACUGAAGGGACACAAGAGGGUAUAUAAAAAGUAGAACAGAACAAUCGUAAAUUAAUUUUACUAUUCCAUAGAAAACAAAAGAAAUGUAAUAAAAUGUAUAAAAGUGCAAUACA
This 1963-nucleotide long non-coding RNA is filed under the name Piliocolobus tephrosceles (Ugandan red Colobus). RNAcentral's name for it is "lncRNA (ENSPTEG00000008474.1)". The record is from RNAcentral. Lineage: Eukaryota; Metazoa; Chordata; Mammalia; Primates; Cercopithecidae.